This 512-nucleotide ribosomal RNA is filed under the name uncultured bacterium. RNAcentral describes it as "partial 16S ribosomal RNA". It matches the Rfam family "Bacterial small subunit ribosomal RNA", at positions 28 to 523 of the family's 1533-position model. The record is from RNAcentral.
GAUGAACGCUGGCGGCAUGCCUAAUACAUGCAAGUCGAACGAGAGGAAGGAAAGCUUGCUUUUCUGAAUCUAGUGGCGAACGGGUGAGUAACACGUAGGUAACCUGCCCAUGUGCCCGGGAUAACUUCUGGACACGGAUCCCAACACCGGAUCGGUAGCAGACAAGCAUUUGACUGCUAUCAAAGUGGCCAAGGCCAUGAACAUGGAUGGACCUGCGGUGCAUUAGCUAGUUGGUGAGGUAACGGCCCACCAAGGCGACGAUGCAUAGCCGGCCUGAGAGGGCGGACGGCCACAUUGGGACUGAGACACGGCCCAAACUCCUACGGGAGGCAGCAGUAGGGAAUUUUCGUCAAUGGGGGGAACCCUGAACGAGCAAUGCCGCGUGAGUGAGGAAGGUCUUCGGAUCGUAAAGCUCUGUUGUAAGAGAAAAACGACAUUCAUAGGGAAUGAUGAGUGAGUGAUGGUAUCUUACCAGAAAGUCACGGCUAACUACGUGCCAGCCGCCGCGGUAA